UGGCGUCUGAUUUACAACUUCUUGGUC
RNAcentral lists this non-coding RNA (27 nucleotides) under Homo sapiens (human). Lineage: Eukaryota; Metazoa; Chordata; Mammalia; Primates; Hominidae. The record is from RNAcentral.